CCUACGGGGUGCAGCAGUGGGGAAUAUUGGGCAAUGGACGCAAGUCUGACCCAGCAACGCCGCGUGAAGGAAGAAGGCUUUCGGGUUGUAAACUUCUUUUAAGGGGGAAGAGCAGAAGACGGUACCCCUUGAAUAAGCCACGGCUAACUACGUGCCAGCAGCCGCGGUAAUACGUAGGUGGCAAGCGUUGUCCGGAUUUACUGGGUGUAAAGGGCGUGCAGCCGGAGAGACAAGUCAGGAGUGAAAUGCCGCAGCUUAACUGCGGAACUGCUUUGGAAACUGGCGAACUAGAGUGCGGGAGGGGUAAGCGGAAUUCCUAGUGUAGCGGUGAAAUGCGUAGAUAUUAGGAGGAACACCGGUGGCGAAGGCGGCUUACUGGACCGUAACUGACGUUGAGGCUCGAAAGCGUGGGGAGCAAACAGGAUUAGAUACCCUUGUAGUC
RNAcentral lists this ribosomal RNA (442 nucleotides) under uncultured bacterium. RNAcentral describes it as "partial 16S ribosomal RNA". It matches the Rfam family "Bacterial small subunit ribosomal RNA", at positions 338 to 795 of the family's 1533-position model. The record is from RNAcentral.